AAAAAAUAUUGGCAAACUUAUUGAAAAAUAAGGACGCAAAGCCAUGGAUCUAAAGGAUGUAAUAUUCUACGAUUGCCAGGUUGCUAUU
RNAcentral lists this non-coding RNA (88 nucleotides) under Sporomusa malonica. Its description in RNAcentral is "c-di-GMP sequence". It matches the Rfam family "c-di-GMP-I riboswitch aptamer". From Rfam's summary of the family: GEMM was predicted in a large-scale screen for bacterial structured RNA regulatory elements. Genes associated with GEMM are involved in a diverse array of functions, including chemotaxis regulation, signal transduction, secretion and chitin. Lineage: Bacteria; Bacillati; Bacillota; Negativicutes; Selenomonadales; Sporomusaceae. The record is from Rfam by way of RNAcentral.